CAGGCUUGAACUGCAGAUGACAUCCUACGAAAGUAGGCUCCCGCAAGGGCAUCUGUAGAGGUGCUGCAUGGCUGUCGUCAGCUCGUGUCGUGAGAUGUUGGGUUAAGUCCCGCAACGAGCGCAACCCUUGUCUUCUGUUGCCAUCGGGUCAAGCCGGGCACUCUGAAGAGACUGCCGGUGACAAACCGGAGGAAGGUGGGGAUGACGUAUGCGUAACAGAA
RNAcentral lists this unclassified non-coding RNA (221 nucleotides) under uncultured Acidobacteriota bacterium. Its description in RNAcentral is "uncultured Acidobacteria bacterium contains 16S-23S intergenic spacer region". It matches the Rfam family "Bacterial small subunit ribosomal RNA", at positions 978 to 1198 of the family's 1533-position model. The record is from RNAcentral. Lineage: Bacteria; Pseudomonadati; Acidobacteriota.